GCCUUCGAGAUGUAGUGGUCAGCACGCUCGACGCGUAACCGAGAGGUCCGUGGUUCGAUUCUCGGCGAAAGCG
This is a non-coding RNA of Stegodyphus mimosarum, 73 nucleotides long. Lineage: Eukaryota; Metazoa; Arthropoda; Arachnida; Araneae; Eresidae. The record is from Rfam.